CUUAACUACUGAGCCACCCAGGUGUGGGGCAUUCUUGUUGAGCAUAUAUUCCCUCUCCUUCCUCUUCCCAUGAAAGGAGUAGACUUUUCCACACCAGUAGAGGGCUUAGCCAUGUGACCUGUUUGGCCAGUGAAAUGUGAAUAUCCGAGCAGAGGUAUGCUGUUAUAGUGUGGGUUCUGUGUUCUCUCCCUUUCCCACAGGAAGGACAUGCUCCAGCCUCCUACUGCUCCUUCAUCCUGGGUCCUAAAAUAGAAAGACAUGAGACAGCCCUGAACCCAACUUGAUGCAAUGCUGCUAAAAUGCUGACCUACAGACCCGCAGGCAAGGAUACAGGUAACCUGCUGUUAGAUUUCAAUCACAUUCCUCACGUGCCCAUGAUGUGCGGAAGCAGUUUGAUGCAUCUGUGACACUGACUUGAAGAAAUGGCCUAAGACUUCCUGUCUAUGAACCCACUGCCUAGUGGGAAGCCCAUCAGCAGGAGAACUUGAAUGGCUCCACCCUAUUCCUAUGAGGCUUGUGCACACGGUAUGAGCUGUGCCCAUCAGAUUCUCUCCCUGGACCUUAACCUCAACUGAAAAGACACAAAAGACAAGGAAAGCCUGGCCUCUGAGAUGCGCCCCUGGUGAGCUCCAACCUAUGAGAACUAGCGUCGGUUCAUGGCGCCUGGUCAUUGGCCUGACUACUGCUUUCUAGAGUUGAGGGAAUGAGUAAAGCCGAGAGAGAACUGCAGAUGCUGGCUUCUGGGAAACCAGCCUGAUGACCUGAAACUGGAGAAGUUCCCCAGACGGUGUGAGGGGGAUUGUCCUCCUGACCCCUCACCUCCCCACAGCCCUGGGUCACCUUCCUCUGUUUACUGAGAACACGCCUGUGAGAAAACCCGGGCCUGCCUGGGCUGGUGAGCAGUGUAUGAGAGAAUUUGAACUUUAUCCAUCUUGACAUUUCUGCCUUGGUAUGUGUGACUGUUCUUACACAUAUGGAUUGGAUCAAAUGAGAUAAUUUAUGCAAAAGAACUUUGCAAUUUUUCGAGGGCUAUCCAAGCAAGGUAUUGCUUGUUGCUAUUAUUACCAUCCCAAAGGAAAGGGUUUCCUCUUUAACAUACCCAUGUAUUUGAUUAAAAUUAGGUGGUAAAUUGGCAAACCCAUAAAGUGCUUUCUUGUGUCGUCUGUCACCUGUACCUAUGGUGACCAUAUGGCCUGCGUUUUCCAGGAUGGCCCAGAUUCCACGUCAUUUUAUUCUUUUUUUUUUUUUUAAA
Molecule: non-coding RNA, 1252 nt
Organism: Leptonychotes weddellii (Weddell seal)
Lineage: Eukaryota; Metazoa; Chordata; Mammalia; Carnivora; Phocidae
Source: RefSeq, a predicted model, not a curated record